CAAUAGCGUAUAUUAAAGUUGUUGCAGUUAAAAAGCUCGUAGUUGGAUAUGUGGUUUGCGGUGGGUUCCGGGCACUUGUUGUCCGAGUAACUUGCCGCUGCCAUCCUUGAGUGGAACCUGUGUGGCAUUAGGUUGUCGUGCAGGGGAUGCCCAUCGUUUACUGUGAAAAAAUUAGAGUGUUCAAAGCAGGCUUAUGCCGUUGAAUAUAUUAGCAUGGAAUAAUAAGAUAGGACUUUGUCGCUAUUUUGUUGGUUUGCGCGAUAAGGUAAUGAUUAAUAGGGACAGUUGGGGGUAUUCGUAUUCCAUUGUCAGAGGUGAAAUUCUUGGAUUUUUGGAAGACGAACUACUGCGAAAGCAUUUACCAAGGAUGUUUUCAUUAA
Molecule: ribosomal RNA, 380 nt
Filed under: uncultured eukaryote
Lineage: Eukaryota
Description: partial 18S ribosomal RNA
Rfam family: Eukaryotic small subunit ribosomal RNA
Source: RNAcentral